GUCACUGUGAUGAACCACCAGGUGAGUGACGUCACUACAGUGAGCCACCAGGUGAGUGACGUCACUGUGAUGAACCACCAGGUGAGUGACGUCACUACAGUGACCCACCAGGU
Petromyzon marinus (sea lamprey) is the source of this 113-nucleotide non-coding RNA. Lineage: Eukaryota; Metazoa; Chordata; Hyperoartia; Petromyzontiformes; Petromyzontidae. The record is from RefSeq and is a predicted model, not a curated record.